RNAcentral lists this ribosomal RNA (1842 nucleotides) under Epidares nolimetangere. Its description in RNAcentral is "SSU rRNA". It matches the Rfam family "Eukaryotic small subunit ribosomal RNA". The record is from RNAcentral. Lineage: Eukaryota; Metazoa; Arthropoda; Insecta; Phasmatodea; Heteropterygidae.
GUCUCAGUGCAAGCCAAACCAAGGUGAAACCGCGAAUGGCUCAUUAAAUCAGUUAUGGUUCAUUGGACCGUGCCCCCCACGGACUUGGAUAACCGUGGUAAUUCUAGAGCUAAUACAUGCAAACUGAGUCCCGACCAGAGAUGGGAGGGAUGCUUUUAUUAGAUCAAAACCAAUCGGUCGGGGCCGCCUUUCGGGGUGGUCUCCGGUCCGCUUGCUUUGGUGACUCUGGAUAACUUGGAGCCGAUCGCACGGUCCCCGUACCGGCGACGCGUCCUUCAAAUGUCUGCCUUAUCAACUGUCGAUGGUAGGCUCUGCGCCUACCAUGGUCGUAACGGGUGACGGGGAAUCAGGGUUCGAUUCCGGAGAGGGAGCCUGAGAAACGGCUACCACAUCCAAGGAAGGCAGCAGGCGCGCAAAUUACCCACUCCCGGCACGGGGAGGUAGUGACGAAAAAUAACGAUACGGGACUCAUCCGAGGCCCCGUAAUCGGAAUGAGAACACUUUAAACCCUUUAACGAGUAUCCAUUGGAGGGCAAGUCUGGUGCCAGCAGCCGCGGUAAUUCCAGCUCCAAUAGCGUAUAUUAAAGCUGUUGCGGUUAAAAAGCUCGUAGUUGGACCUGUGUCCCACGCUGUCGGUUCACCGUUCGUCGGUGUCUAACUGGCACGCCCGUGUGGACGUCCUGCCGGUGGAUGCGGUCGGCCGCGGGGGCGGUAGUGGCCCGCUACCCCGCGCGUCGGCGGUCCUGCUGCAAUCCCGCCGCGGUGCUCUUCGCCGAGUGUCGAGGCGGGCCGGCACGUUUACUUUGAACAAAUUAGAGUGCUCAAAGCAGGCAGUGGUUGGCCUGGAUACUGUGUGCAUGGAAUAAUGGAAUAGGACCUCGGUUCUAUUUUGUUGGUUUCCGGAACCCCCGAGGUAAUGAUUAAUAGGGACAGACGGGGGCAUUCGUAUUGCGACGUUAGAGGUGAAAUUCUUGGAUCGUCGCAAGACGGACCUAAGCGAAAGCAUUUGCCAUGAGUGUUUUCGUUAAUCAAGAACGAAAGUUAGAGGUUCGAAGGCGAUCAGAUACCGCCCUAGUUCUAACCAUAAACGAUGCCAGCCAGCGAUCCGCCGGAGUUCCUCCGAUGAACCGACGGGCAGCUUCCGGGAAACCAGAGCUUCUGGGUUCCGGGGGAAGUAUGGUUGCAAAGCUGAAACUUAAAGGAAUUGACGGAAGGGCACCACCAGGAGUGGAGCCUGCGGCUUAAUUUGACUCAACACGGGGAACCUCACCAGGCCCGGACACCGGAAGGAUUGACAGAUUGAGAGCUCUUUCUCGAUUCGGUGGGUGGUGGUGCAUGGCCGUUCUUAGUUGGUGGAGCGAUUUGUCUGGUUAAUUCCGAUAACGAACGAGACUCCGGCCUGCUAACUAGUCGCACUUGCGGCAUCCUUCCGCGCUGCCGGCGACGGAUGAUCUUCUUAGAGGGACGGGCGGCUCCUAGCCGCACGAGAUCGAGCAAUAACAGGUCUGUGAUGCCCUUAGAUGUCCUGGGCCGCACGCGCGCUACACUGAAGGAAUCAGCGUGUCCUCCUAGCCCGAGAGGGCCGGGUAACCCGUUGAAACUCCUUCGUGCUGGGGAUUGGGGCUUGCAAUUGUUCCCCAUGAACGAGGAAUUCCCAGUAAGCGCGAGUCAUGAGCUGGCGUUGAUUACGUCCCUGCCCUUUGUACACACCGCCCGUCGCUACUACCGAUUGAAUGAUUUAGUGAGGUCUUCGGACCGGUGCGCGGUGGCUCGAGCUGCGCCCGCCCGGUGUGGCGAGGCCGCUGACGUCGCUGGGAAGAUGACCGAACUUGAUCAUUUAGA